GCAUGGCAACACGCAUGCGUAGUCGGACACACACGCGCCCCGCCCCUCCCCAGGCAGUGGGCGCCUGGGCGCUUUGCGCUUGCGCGGAAUGACGGUGCGGCUCGUAUCUGCGCGCCCCACUACGAACUGGGGGCAGGGCCCCUGCCCGGGGUGUCCUCGCCCUGCGGGGCAGGACCCUGCGACAGCACUGCCACCCCUGCCUGCCUGUCGCACUUCGGGUUUACCAACCUGGAGCGACUGUCGGGUGUGGCCUCACCGUACUGUAAAUGGUUAGGCUCGUCACGGAUAGGAAAAUGUAUUGCACAUGAACACUUUAAGAAGAGAUGAUGGAUCUGGACAGCAUCUCAGGAGUGGAGAUAUUUGGUGGCAGAGCAGAUGACUCCAAAGCAACAGCAAAAAGCCUUGCUGGCUCUGUUGGGAAGUACAGGUGUAAACCGUGACUCUACAAUGCACUCCUGGAAGUCACUGCUAAUCUGAGUUGUCUACAGCGUGAAGGUUUUAUUUUAUAGGACCUGGUUAUGUAGGGUUUUAAUCUCAAUUUCUGGCCAUCUGUAGCUUAGAAAUACUCAAGGAUUCUGUAAGAUGAACGUUAGGUGCCUAGGAAGACUGCAGGCUGUGAAGAAGAAUGCUUUUGGAGAGUUGUGUUUUUUGAAUAAAGGUUUUUCUCUCGCUGGAAAAAGGCUGGUGUUCUGGAAACGGACAUUCACGUCAACCUAGAUGAGGAUUUAGGUGCUGGCAUGUUAAAUAAGUAACUCCGUAAUCAGGAGCUUGACUAGGCACCAAGCUAACAGGAAUGCAGUGACAUGGGCAUUUCUUUUUCAUCCUUCUAUCUUUAUUUCAGGAGUAUUCCAUAGAAAAUAUUAAUGUGCAAAAAAAUUAUACGCUAAACUGUGGUGGAGAAGGCCAUGCCAAGGUGGCCACUGGCAAGCGAGCGUCAGUUACUCAGGGAUGGCUUUGGAAACUGCCUGGCAACAGGCUGUGAUUGGAUGGCUUUGGAAACUGCCUGGCAACAGGCUGUGAUUGGUUGGGGCAUAGACCGCCCCUUGACCAGAUUGGCUGGUCUUGGCUAUAUAAGAUGUUGUACCAACUGAAAUAAACGAGUCUGCCGGCUGCUCGCCUCAAGCCUGC
Oryctolagus cuniculus (rabbit) is the source of this 1128-nucleotide non-coding RNA. Lineage: Eukaryota; Metazoa; Chordata; Mammalia; Lagomorpha; Leporidae. The record is from RefSeq and is a predicted model, not a curated record.